AGAGUUUGAUCAUGGCUCAGAUUGAACGCUGGCGGCAGGCUUAACACAUGCACGGGGAAGGGUAGCUUGCUACCUGACCUAGCGGCGGACGGGUGAGUAAUGCUUUGCCUAUUAGUGGGGGACAACAUCUCGAAAGGGAUGCUAAUACCGCAUACGUCAGAAAGCAGGGGAUCUUCGGACCUUGCGCUAAUAGAUGAGCCUAAGUCGGAUUUGGUGGGGUAAAGGCCUACCAAGGCGACGAUCUGUAGCGGGUCUGAGAGGAUGACACUGGGACUGAGACACGGCCCAGACUCCUACGGGAGGCAGCAGUGGGGAAUAAUGGGGGGAACCCUGAUCCAGCCAUGCCGCGUGUGUGAAGAAGGCCUUAUGGGCACUUUAAGCGAGGAGGAGGCUACUUUAGAUAAUACCUAGAGAUAGUGGACGCAGAAUAAGCACCGGCUAACUCUGUGCCAGCAGCCGCGGUAAUACAGAGGGUGUAAUCGGAUUUACUGGGCGUAAAGCGCGCGUAGGCGGCUAAUUAAGUCAAAUGCCCGAGCUUAACUUGGGAAUUGCAUUCGAUACUGGUUAGCUAGAGUGUGGGAGUAGAAUUCCAGGUGUAGCGGUGAAAUGCGUAGAGAUCUGGAGGAAUACCGAUGCAGCCAUCUGGCCUAACACUGACGCUGAGGUGCGAAAGCAUGGGGAGCAAACAAUACCCUGGUAGUCCAUGCCGUAAACGAUGUCUACUAGCCGUUGGGGCCUUUGAGUGGCGCAGCUAACGCGAUAAGUAGACCGCCUGGGGAGUACGGUCGCAAGACCAAAUGAAUUGACGGGGGCCCGCACAAGCGGUGGAGCAUGUGGUUUAAUUCGACGAAGAACCUUACCUGGCCUUGACAUAGUAAGAACUUUCCAGAGAUGGAUUGGGGGAACUUACAUACAGGUGCUGCAUGGCUGUCGUCAGCUCGUGUCGUGAGAUGAAGUCCCGCAACGAGCGCAACCCUUUUCCUUAUUUGCCAGCGAGUAAUGUCGGAAGGAUACUGCCAGUGACAAACUGGAGGAAGGCGGGGACGACGUCAAGUCAUCUUACGGCCAGGGCUACACACGUGCUACAAUGGUCGGUACAAAGGGUUGCUACAGUGAUGCUAAUCUCAAAAAGCCGAUCGUAGUCCGGAUUGGAGUCUGCAACUCGGAAGUCGGAAUCGCUAGUAAUCGCGGAUCAGAAUGCCGCGGUGAAUACGUUCCUGUACACACCGCCCGUCACACCAUGGGAGUUUGUUGCACCAGAAGUAGCUAGCCAAAGAGGGCGGUUACCACGGUGUGGCCGAUGACUGGGGUGAAGUCGUAACAAGUAGGGGAACCU
RNAcentral lists this ribosomal RNA (1336 nucleotides) under Acinetobacter baumannii. Its description in RNAcentral is "bacterial SSU rRNA". It matches the Rfam family "Bacterial small subunit ribosomal RNA". Lineage: Bacteria; Pseudomonadati; Pseudomonadota; Gammaproteobacteria; Moraxellales; Moraxellaceae. The record is from RNAcentral.